GGAUAUGAGGGUAAUCUGGCUGCGACAUCUUUCACUCCACUGAUCGCCAGGGUUGAUUCGGCUGAUCUGGCUGGCGAGGCGGGUGUCCCCUUCCUCCCUCACCGCUCCAUGUGCGUCUCUCCCGAAGCUGUGCACUUGGUCAAAGAGGACGACCAUCCCCGAUAGAGGAGGACCGUUCUUCGGUCAAGGGUAUACGAGUAACUGUGCUCCCCUGCUAGAACCUCCAAACAGGCUCUCAAGAAGUAGAGAAACAUUAAGUAGAAAAGAACUACUGUAUAGUAAGAUUAAAAUGGUACACUUCAGUGAACCUUAAUACUAAAGAUUUCAGAAACCUUUU
RNAcentral lists this small nuclear RNA (337 nucleotides) under Castor canadensis (American beaver). RNAcentral describes it as "7SK RNA (ENSCCNG00000000624.1)". It matches the Rfam family "7SK RNA". Rfam says of the family: 7SK was discovered as an abundant small nuclear RNA in the mid-70s but a possible function has only recently been suggested. Two independent studies have found that 7SK RNA binds the CDK9/cyclin T complex (known as elongation factor P-TEFb). P-TEFb activates transcription by phosphorylating the C-terminal domain of RNA polymerase II. The record is from RNAcentral. Lineage: Eukaryota; Metazoa; Chordata; Mammalia; Rodentia; Castoridae.